GGGACGUGUUAGUGGAUGAACUAGUCUAGGUUGCGGAAUAAAUCUGUGACUCGGACCGGAUCGUCCCUAGCUCGUCACGUAGCGCUUCCGGACCAUGGUGUUGGGUUGGACGGUCAGUCAUGUUCUUGUUUGAUUGUUGGCUGGCCGGUUGGCCUUUCAUCUCCAAUCCUUGGUGUUGGUUGGUCCGUCGGUCAUGUUCUUGUUUGAUUGUUGGCCGGUGGGUCGACCUAUGCCUAGGACGGUUCGGGGGUGUUACAGAGGUGGUAUCAGAGCAUGGUUACGAUUAUGCUCACUGGUUCCCGUGGUUUUUCAAAUGUUUUCAAUGUUUUUCGAGUCAAAAGGAGUCGCCAAUGCACUCUUUAGGAAUCCGGUCGUGUCCAAUCGUUUAGGAGGGGUAGGAGAGAUUUUAUUUUAUUAUUAGCUUGUUGUCUAACCCAUAUAUAUUGCGACAUGAUUCCGCAGGUUGCUGUACUGGUGUGGUAGGGUGGAGAUUUGGAGUUACGGAGGAUUUCGACGUUUCGCCUAGUCCUAUACUUGCCGAUCUUUUUCAGCCGCAUGAGUUUGAUCAGAUCGUACCAGACAUGUUUCCGACACCUAUCAUCAUUUCUGAUGAUGACACCGAGCCUGAUGAUGCGGUUCCGACACCCUUUAUUGUCAUUUCUGACGAUGAGACCAAUGCGGAUGAUCUUGUUCCGCAGAUGCCUACGGUAGCACCACCGAGCCCCAUCACUAUCUUGUCUACGGGUACUACUGGAGAUACGCCGAGUUAUGAUCCUGCUGAGGAUCAGGGCACUUCGCCACCUACUCCAGAUGUGUCGACACCAUCAUAUGGUCCCUUACCUUUGUCUCCGGGAUUACCCGAUCCUACUCUCAGCCCGACGAUUGACAUACAUUAUGAGAUGGGUCUGGAGGGAUUUUACGAUCUGCCGAUGGAGAGUAUUGGUGACAGCCAUGAUGAUCCAUUACUUUACUAUCCAGACAUCAUGAUUCCUGAUGAGCCAGCAAACUAUCAGUCCAUGGAGAGCGUUGGACACCCUGAUGACGACCCAUUCCUUUAUGAUCCAGACGUGAUGAUGAUGGACCAGCCACUUCCUCAGCCGGCGGACUUAUCUUUUUCUCAUACUAUACCUGCGAGUGGAGAGCCUUCCAGCUUUCCACCCAUGGAGCCAUCCACGACCUACUCACCAUUAUCUCAGCCAUUCUAUGACUACGGAGAGCCUUCCAGCUUUCCGACGAUGGAGGUACCCAAGACUGAAUUACCAUUUUACCAGACCACUUAUCAGACCGGAGGGCCAUCUAGCCUUCCAGCGAUGGAUGCAUCUUUUGAUCUUGGAGGAUCUGCUUCUUCUGGUGAUCCUUACGCACCUCAGUCCUAUCGAUGUUUUUGGUGUCAGAGCAGGAUAUGUGGAUCCACACGGAUUCCCAUAUCAUACUUAUCUUGGUAGAUCGGAUCUGUACCCGAGGUGUUUUACUUGUGGAGGCAUAGCACAUUCGACUGGCGUGUGCACGAGCUACGACGAGCCAGCAGCGAUACCCUACCUACACAGUGCGCAACCAGCAGGGGAUUCGUCCGAGUGGGGCUACUGCCCCAACUGCGACAUGUUGCUUUAUAUAUGGCGUUCUUAGACGUGUAGGACCGGGUAAGUAGGGUACAGACUUUUUGUGGUGAUAUAGCGGUGUAUAGACUUUUGUAGUGUUUUGUGACAGCUGAUGUCUUUUGUUGUAUGAUAUAUCAUCAGUAACGAUAAAGGAUGUUUUUCUGUCAAGUAUAUGUAUAUAUUUGAUGGGAGGAUAUGUUUUAUAGUGAAGGUGGUUAUCAUUUGCGUUUUUCUAUUUAGUAAUUACGUAACCAUAUCAUUCAAGUAUGCAUGUUCUUGCAUAUUUGAAUUAUGUGGUUUACAAGAUGAAAAAUAGUGAUCGCUUGGACAUAUGGUUUUACAAAACAUUUACAACUGUUUAAAUAUCACACAAAUCGUUGGUACAGUAGAGUCUUAGUUUUUAGGCCGCAUUUUUUUAGGGCUGGUUAGUGGAACAUAGAAUUGCUAGGUUGUUGGUUAGAAUUGCGGUUAGAUUACCCGGUUAGAAUCGUUAGGUUGCUGGAUAGAUUUGGUAGGUUGCUGGUUAGUUUUGGAUUAGAUUGUUAGGUUAGUUGUUAACUAACUUGCAUGUGAAGUGUUCUUUUGAGUUGCAGCUUGUGUGUUCGUUGAUCGGAACUUUAAGGAAUGGAAACCUUAAAGUGAAAAGAGUUCAAGGCUAAAAACCCAAAAUGAAGAGAGAGAGAUUUAGAGGGACUGGACAGUGGUAUGGACUGGACAAGUAUGAGAAAGACUUCGUUGAGAAAGGACUUCAUCAGUUUUGGGAAAAGAAAGGUUUCAGUGAUCAGAAGCAAAGAUGGUGCGCGUUAUGGCAGAGUAAAUGCAAGAAGACGAUUCAGUAUUCAUCAAGUGAAGAGUUUUGUGGCAACUUUGAGAAGGAGACUCAUGGGAGAGCAGUAGAUACGGUGAAGCAAUAUGAAGAUGAAUUCAGCAUGAGAGUGAAGCGAUAUGGAGAUGAGUUAAGAAUGAGUGAAGCAUGGGAAAUCAAGAAGUGAAGGACGGAUUCAAGACUAAAGGAAUGCUUUGAGAUGUAUCAAGACGGAGUGAGUUCAGAACCAGAAGUUUGGGUGGAGACCAGAGAAACCGAAAGGAGGAAACCAAGGGCAAACCGAUAAAGAAGCACAUCAAGUGAUCAAGACCGCGAGACAAGUGAUCCAAGGAGAAAUUUUCAUCAAGGGGAUGAACAUGUCGUGAAGCUGAGCCAUUGGACAACUAAGAAUGCGAGGACGAAUUCUAUUAAGGGGGGAAGAAUGUGAUAAUCCGCCCUUCGGGAUAAAAUGGUUGAGCAAGGGAAAGUCAGAAUCUGGAGCCAAGCUUUUGGGAGAUUACAUAUUUGGAGUAAUGUUGAGUUUUGAUCACACAAAACUUAACAAGGUUCGGAGAAGACAGAAGAUUGGUCGAGCAUCAACUUGAUGAUCGAACCGCGGGCGGUACGAACCGAGAAGUUCGAAGUAGGAUGUGGUCGAAGAAUGGAUCGUGAGUGAACCAUGAGACAUAUUACGCUGCUCUACCUUUCUUAGAAGAGUCUUAGAUUGAUCAGACGAAGAUUUUGGAAGAAUCACAUUUUUGGAAGCACGACGGUUUAGAAGCUCGACGUUUCUUAGCCACUAAGUUUUCUGUGAAACUUCACAUCUAUCAUCAGAAUAUUAUUUCAGAGAUAUUAUAAUUUGGAAGCAUGACGGGAGUAAGCAGGACGGGAAGCAAGCACGACGGAAAAACCCGAAGUUGGUCGAAAACCCUAAUUUCGGUUUUUCGAAAUUAUUGGAAGAAGCCGGAGGCUCGGGAAAUAUUUUUAGAGGAUCUCAGUAUUUAUCUGGAGUUUAUUAAAAAUAUUUAGAGAAUCAGAACGGGAGCGGAAAAAUAUUCAGGAUUGAUCGCGGGACGAAAAUUCACCAGAAAGACCGAAAUCGCACAAAUCAACCGGGAAGCUCGAGGUGGCCCUAUCUGAGAGAUCAGGACGUGCUGUCCUUCAUCCAAGCAUCUUAGUGUCUCCGUAGCACGACAUGUCUCCGCAGGAUGAAGCCUCACAUGCAGCAUGACACCCAAAGCACGACAUGGCAUCGUCUUGACACCCAGAGGCCCGUGUGUCGCGAUGCAUGAGCUCCAGCCAUGCUGAAUGACAUCUGGACGUGGUGCUGGCUUCUGGCAUGCAGAGGAGUCAUGCAUGGUGACAUUUGGACGCCCGUGUGUCGCCGCGCAUGCGACUGGAAGCAUGCGGGACGACACAAAGGCGAUGGAGUGGCACCAUUUCAAUGGUUGGCCAUAUCUAUAUAAACCCAGCUCCCCCAGCUCGUUUCAUUCAUUCCACACACUCAAACAUCACUCUAAAACUUGGGCUAGAGAGAGAAAGUGAAGUAGAAAAAGGAAGUGAAGGAUUUGGAGUUGUUUUGAAGAAGUUAGAGCAUUUUUAAGAGCCAUUGUUCUACCGAAAGUCCAAGAAGAAGAUCCAGAAGUCCGAGGAGGUUCUGUCCAAGUCCUGAUUCGUCCAUACCAGUCCAUUGAAGACAGAGGCCUUGGGUUUUGGCUAGGCUCUCUCCGAUCAACCAGCUGCAAGAACACUGUGAGUUGGUUUGUUUGAGUUCCACUUGGAACUUAGGAUAGAUCGAGUUGCAUAUAGAGUAGAAAUAUCACACUGAUGCAUGAUAGAGUCCUAGGGUUAUUUUUAUUUAUGAAUUGGACUCAGUUUAGCAUGGGCUAAGCUGAGAUAUAGGCCGUGUUCGUUUGCUGGUCGCUAGCGUCAGCGACCAAGUUCAGCGACCAAACGCUGUUCGUUUACCGGUCGUGAGUUCAGCGACUGAUCUCAGCGACCAAACGCUAGCGAUCAGCGAUUUAAAAUUUUGGACGCUGGAAAUUUCAGCGGUGCGACCAAAAUCGUGCGACUAGAAAUUUUUUUUUUUUUUUUUUUUUGAACACUCGAAAAAAUAAAAAAAAACUUAAAAAGACAAAACUACCCUAAAUAUAUUUACAGAAUCACAAUACAUUGCCAUUAACCCUAAUACAAACUCACGCCAAAAAAAAAAACCAGAAACUUCUCUCUCUCUCCCCGAUCUAUUUCCUGCGGCCAUACUUCUCUUCUCUGCUCAAGCUCUCUUUCUCUCCGAUCUAUUUCCGGCAGCCACAGAGAACCUUCUCUGCUCAAGGUCUCUCUCUCUCUCUCUCUCUCUCUCUCUCUCUCUCUCUGCGUUUUGUGUGAGGAUAAUGGAACCUUUAGAUUAAUUAAGUUGACUGUUGGGUUUUUUGAUUCUUGAUAUGGGUUGCUUUUAGAUUUAAGAUUUUGAUUAUCAAAUCUUUGUUUUUAAUCCGAUUAUCAGACAUGGGUUUGAGUUCCUGUGAAUGUUUUCAGACAUGGGUUUGAGUUCUUUUUGGUAUGUGACGAAGUGUUCUUGCAUUUGCUUUCAAGUAGUUUAUAGUUUGGUCUGAAUAAAGCUUCGAUGUUUGGAACAAGAGUCAAAUUUUGUGUGCUUUUGAUAGAUUGUUGUUUCAGUUUAGUAGUAGUGAUGAAAUAUGUGUCUGCAAGUCUCAUCAUUUAUGUCUGUAUUAUCUUCUCAGGUUGGACAUAAAUCACAACAAGACAAGAUAAGAAGAAUGGCUGAUGAUGUAAGUGUUUUAGGCAGUUCUAGUUUCUUAGAUCUUUUGUGAUAGUUUUUUCUGCUAGUUUAGCUUGUUUGUCUAUUGAUGAGACUUGUUAUUUAGAAAUGGACCGAUGAAGAAGUUAGGUAUUUCUUUGCUCUUUAUGCUGAUGAGAAAAAGAAAGGGAACAGACCAAGGAGUGGCAUGAAUCUAGCUGGAAGAGAGUUCAUCGUAAAUAAGUUUGAAGAGAAAUUUGGUAAGAGAUGGAUAUGGGACAGGUUUAAGAACAAGGUUGAUAUUAGUAGAAAAGCAUAUGUCAAGUUCAAGAAGCUUACCCACAAUAGAACCGGGCUUGUCUAUGAUGCUUUGGGAAGGUUGGAGAUGUCGGAUGCUUGGUGGGAUCAACGCAUUGCGGUAAGUAUCUUUCUCUUAGUCUUCAGUGCUUUAAUAAUGUCAGUAUUAGAGUUCUCUUUCUGCUUAGAGUGAAAAAUAUUAGACAUUGAAUCAGUAUUAGCUUGAAAAAAAUAUUAGACAUUGAAAAAUACUGUAUGUUUCAAAUAUACUAAUUUUUUUCUUCUUAAACAGGAAUGGCAAGGUGCAAGAAAGUAUAAGACCAAAGUGCCUCCAAACAUGGAUGUGUUUGAAGCAGAGUUUGGUGCUGUUACUGUAACUGGAGCAGAAGGAUGGUGUGCUCAGCAAGGAGAAGCUAGCUUAGAUUCUAGAGUAGAUGUAGAGAAGGAUGACGAGUCUGAUUCAGUUGACACUGGGAUGCCAGCACCAAGAGAAGGAACAAGUAGAGCUGGAGGUUCAAAAAGAAAGCGUAAGGAAUUUGAUCAAGAGCCUUAUGUUCUAAGGAAUGCAAUUCUGGCUGAGAAAAAUAAGAUAGCAGAAAAGAUGGUAGAGAUAAUGGCAGAGGAUCGUGUGGUGUUGCAGCAGGAUCGCAAAUUCCGUGUGCACUCUGUGUUGGAGAUACUUAAUGAGCUACCUGGAAUUAUAAAGUGGUCACCAUUUCACAUUGCUGCAGUUAACCAUCUCAAAGCUGUUGAAGAAAACAGAAUGGCUUUUAUGUCUUUCUCUAGUGAUGAUGAUAAGAUUAGCUAUCUUGAAAAUAUGAUUGGAGUUAAGAUAUAUGAAGGAUUGUAGUGUCUGUUUCAGUAUGACUGUUUUAAUAUGACUCAGAUUGUAGUGUUUCUUUUAAGUAUGACUUUUGUUUCAUUUUUUUGGUAUGAAUCAGAUUGUAGUAUUUUAAUGUGAUAGUACCAUUAUUCUCGUGUCUGCCUGCUCAAAUUGGAAGUUGGUUUUUUUUAAUGUGAUAGGAAGUUGGGUUUUUUUUUUCUGUCUCGCAACUUAUAUAUAUAUAUGUGAUUUUAAUGCUUUGCAGAUGGUUAGGUGGUACUUGGAUGAUGAUGAUGAGGAUGAUGAUUAUGAGGAAGAGCAUGAAGUUGAUGUGCUUAAGCCAGAGAGAUUGCUUCAUAGAACAGAUCGAGGUGCUGGAUGGAAUCAUGUUCAGCAGCUUAUGCACGGGUCAGAUCAACAGUGCUAUGAUAUUCUUCGCAUGAAUCAGAGGACAUUUCAAGAUCUGUGUAAGAUGUUAGCAACGAGAUAUGGGUUACAAGAGACGUUGAAUGUCUAUAUUGAAGAAGCGGUUGCAAUGUUCCUUGAAGUGGUGGGUCAAGAUAAGACAGUACGGGUUAUUGCACAAAGAUAUCAACGUUCGUUGGAUACAGUCAAAAGGAAACUUGGUGAGGUUUUGAGUUCUCUCUUGAAAUUUGCUGCAGAUACACUAAAACCAGAAGAUGGUGAGUUCACAAGAGUAUGUCCUGCUUUGAGAAAUGAUGAUCGAUACUGGCCAUUUUUUAAAGACUGUAUUGGAGCAUUGGAUGGAACUCAUAUCUCAGUCCGCCCUCCUAAACGAAAUGCAGAAGCAUACAGGGGCAGAAAACAGGAGCCAACCAUGAAUGUCCUUGCUAUAUGUAACUUUGAUAUGAAGUUCAUAUAUGCUUAUGUGGGUGUGCCGGGUAGAGCCCAUGACACAAAGGUAUUAACUUAUUGUGCGAGGAAUGAGCCUUUUUUUCCACAUCCGCCAAAUGGAAAGUAUUAUUUGGUUGAUGCUGGAUAUCCCACAAGAACAGGGUAUCUUGGUCCGUAUCGUAGAGUUCGGUAUCAUCUCGAUCAGUUCAACAGAGGAGGACCGCCAACGAACACUCGAGAGGUGUUCAACCGGAGACAUUCAAGCUUGCGAUCAGUGAUUGAGCGGACAUUUGGAGUGUGGAAAGCAAAAUGGAGAAUUCUUGACCGUAGGCAUCCAAAAUAUGGUUUGAUCAAAUGGAUAAAGCUAGUGACGGCAACGAUGGCUCUACACAACUUCAUACGUGAUUCACAUCGAGAAGAUAAUGAUUUUGUGCAUUGGCAGAGAAGAGAAGAAUAUCAUACUCAUGGUGAUAAUGAUGAAGAAGAAAGAGAUGAAGAGGAAGAUGAAGAAGAAGAAGAAGAAGAUGGUGAUGGUCAUGGUGGACAUAUUCCAUAUGAGCCGACUGGUGAUAGAGCCAUGGAAGGUUUACGUGAUCAUAUUGGUAAUGAGUUGAGUAGAGGAUAUCGAUUACCUUAUUAGUUUAUUUGAUUUGAAUUUGUACUGAUUAUUAUUAUAAGUUACUCGUAUGAUCACUCAUAAACAAAAGUGAACUUGUACAAGGAAAAAUAUAAGAAAUUGAAACGAUUAAACAUAUUGCAUCCAUGGUGUGAUUUAUUACACUUUACAGUUUUAAUGAUUUAGCCACGUUUUUGACGAAACCUAAGUACACAAGAGCAAAUGUAUGUCAAAAGUAAAUAUUUGGUCGCCAGCGAUACAGAAACGAACAGCAUAGCGACAACCGCUGCGAUCAAUCGCGCGACAUAGAAACGAACAGCAUAGCGACAACCGCUGCGAUCAAUCGCGCGACCUUCAAACGAACAACUAUCAGCGACAUCAUGUCGCAGUCGCUGGUCGCUGACUCUGGUCGCUGACGCUGGCGACCACGAAACGAACAGGGCCAUAAUGGAAUUAAGACUGAGUUAUAACCUGACUAGGACUAGGAUGAAUGAUGCAUUAACCGGUAUAGUGUGAUAAAUUAUGGCGUAGCUGAAUUGUUAGGAUUGAGAUGCAUGUUUUCCUUUAUUUAUUUAUGGGUAGUUUAGUAAUGGAGUAGACCUGCCUUAGAGAUAUUAGGACUAUUGAAUGCUUGGUUUGGUAGUGAUUGUUGUUGUGCAGGGAUGGUAUUGUUCAGGAGAUCUUAGGCCAUAUAGGCCGAUUUCCGUCCAUGUCGAGUUUAGUACUACGAAUCCUAUGCCAUAUAGGCUGGACUACGAGUACUGGUGUUAGUGUCGUAGACUCCUUAGUGUAUUUAAGUUUGUGGUAGGAGUCUUGGUCUUAUUAGGAUUAGUGUGUUGUUGCCGAUAGUAUGAGCAUAACCCGUCCAUACUAGGCUUGUUUAAGGGUGAUUAGUGUUUCCUCAGCCUCGUACCCAGCGGGUUUAAGGAAAUCCCUUCUUCGUUGGAUCGGGAAGACUCAGAGAGACAGGAUCAUGGUCUAUGGCUGAAUUAUUACACGACGGUGUAAUGUGGCAGUGACCCGAAGGACUGUGGGCUGUCGCGCGGUGACCCGAAGGACUGUGGGCCGCAGUCGGUUGAAAGUUCCUUCUUCUGGCCUUUGUGGUAGGGAGAUAGGAUAUUGCCGAUGUUGAGGAGGAACACGAGAUCACCAGGGCCCAUGUUAGAGUAUUGAGUCUAGAGUUAGAAUAGUGUGUCGAGUUAGUUUUAUUGUGUCGUCUUGAGGGUGAGGAACCCUCGAGAUAGUGUUAGCACCGAGAUACGGUGUUGAUCAAGUCUUGAUUGUUAGAUUAGGGAUCCGUUGAGUAGAUGGUCGUUUGGCCAUGUCUAUUAUUAGUAUUAUUAGAUUAAGGUCGAGCAUACCUUAAUCGGUGCGGUUUUGGGGAUUAGCCUUAAAGCUAUUUUCUGCGCUUAGGCUAGAUUGAUUGUUAUUUUUGGGUUGUCUGAGCUAGCUACUAGGUUUAGGUAUUUAGGUAGCCAGCUCACUGAGUGACCUUCUGUUACUCACCCAACUCUCGUUGUCCUUUUUGCAGGAGUUUAGGUUGUAGGAGAUUGGACGCGUAGGCCACCGAAAUAGAUUUGCAGUGCAUUUGGCUACGGUUUGAUUUUUAUACGAUUUAUGUUUCCGUUGCGUUUUAUCGGAUUUGGGAUCCCUAAAGUAUUGCAAAUAUUCUUAAAAGUCUUGGAUUUAAAUCUUAAAAAAAUUAACGGGUCCAAUAUGAUAUUGGUUUAGUCCGAACCAACACAACGUUAGGUCUUGGUACGGGUUGAAAAGCCUUAGGCCUCGAUCUAACGGAACCGUUAACUCAUGGUACAGGUUGCAAAGCCUUAAGCUUUGAUUUAGCGGGACGUGUUAGUGGAUGAACUAGUCUAGGUUGCGGAAUAAAUCUGUGACUCGGACCGGAUCGUCCCUAGCUCGUCACGUAGCGCUUCCGGACCAUGGUGUUGGGUUGGACGGUCAGUCAUGUUCUUGUUUGAUUGUUGGCUGGCCGGUUGGCCUUUCAUCUCCAAUCCUUGGUGUUGGUUGGUCUGUCGGUCAUGUUCUUGUUUGAUUGUUGGCCGGUGGGUCGACCUAUACCUAGGACGGUUCGGGGGUGUUACAGUCCUUGUCUUAGGACUUUCUCAAACUGUACCAUUCAAAUAACUGAAAACAGAAAAGUCUUUGGUCUUUAAGACUUGUAAGCCGUGGGUAAUAAAUCUUUGUCUUUGUUAAGACAUGUGUAAGCCGUGGGUAAAAAUCUUUGUAAGCCGUGGGUAAGGAAUCUGUUUUCAGUUAUAGUCUUUUGUCUUAAGACUGAGCCGCAUGCUCUUAUUUGCCAUCCCCUAAAGCCCUUCUUUAUACAUGCACCACCAACCCAUAUUCUCGGUCCAUUAGGAGAUGGCAUAAGUUUCUUUUAGAGGCAGCAAGGGACAAUGUUUUCAGUUAUAGUCCUUGUCUUAGGACUUUCUCAAACUGUACCGUUCAAAUAACUGAAAACAGAAAAGUCUUUGGUCUUUAAGACUUGUAAGCCGUGGGUAAUAAAUAUUUGUCUUUAUCUAAGACAUGUGUAAGCCGAGGGUAAUAAAUCUUUGUAAGCCGUGGGUAAGGAAUCUGUUUUUAGUUAUAGUCUU
Molecule: long non-coding RNA, 10361 nt
Filed under: Brassica rapa (field mustard)
Lineage: Eukaryota; Viridiplantae; Streptophyta; Magnoliopsida; Brassicales; Brassicaceae
Description: long non-coding RNA (BRAP_LNC004808)
Source: RNAcentral